GUACAAGCCCCUCUGUGUAAGCUCCAAAAUCAAAAGGAAGCUCAGAAGAAGAAGAAAAAUGGCGACAAGAUACUGGGUGGUGUCUCUGCAGGUUCAAAACUCUGCUUCCACUCAUGGAAUCGUCUGCAAGACCAAAUCUCCAAGCAUUCCUUUGAUACUCCUCUCUACAGGUUCAAUAUUCCUAAUCUCCGUGUUGGAACCCUGGAUUCUCUGCUCUCUCUCAGCG
RNAcentral lists this unclassified non-coding RNA (226 nucleotides) under Hevea brasiliensis (rubber tree). The record is from RNAcentral. Lineage: Eukaryota; Viridiplantae; Streptophyta; Magnoliopsida; Malpighiales; Euphorbiaceae.